CAUCUGCUGUGGUUUGGAAGCAGCCCCUCUGAAGUUUGGUGAACCUCAGAGCCCAGGCUCCUGCCCCACUCAGGGUCCUGCAUGUCCCCAUUGCCUUGGUGUUCCCUCUGCAGCCCUGUGAAGACCCAGGAGAGGCAGCAGCCAUGAAGAUCCUGUUCCUGCUCUUCCCCCUGCUCCUUCUGCUGGUCCAGGGUGCUGCAGGAAGUGCAAGGCGAUGCAAGAGAAGUGGGGGAUACUGCAGCGUUGGGCUGUGCCGUCCCCCCGCAAGUCCUGUUGGCAGAUGUUCACCAUACCAUGUGUGCUGCAUUAGACUCUUAGGAUGAGACUGAAAUUCCCAAGCAGGAAAUGCCCCCGUGCUUGUGGCUGCUGGACCCAUCUGCUGAUGUCCCCUGCCCUCCCUGGCUGUGCGGUGCCCAGCUGGGCUGACAGCAGCAGUGGCAGCUGCUCCUGCUGGGUGCUGCUGGGCUGCAGCCCUGUGGUGCCAGCCCCGGUGUCUUUGGGCCAGGGGCUGCUUUUCCCAGCUUGAAUAAAGACGAGCACUUUGGCAUUGCAGCGCUGGGCCGUGUGUGCGUGUCCUGCUGCUGCUGCUGGAGGGCUGCUGUGCCUGCUGCCCCUGGGGCUGCCACUGCCUUGGUGGCAGCAGAAGGCCCUGGGCAUGGUGCUGGGGCUGAGCAGCG
Motacilla alba alba is the source of this 677-nucleotide long non-coding RNA. RefSeq lists it as uncharacterized. The record is from RefSeq and is a predicted model, not a curated record. The transcript is spliced from 3 exons. NCBI's taxonomy places the organism in Eukaryota, Metazoa, Chordata, Aves, Passeriformes, Motacillidae.